GUGAAAUUGUUGAAAGGGAAACGAUUGAAGUCAGUCGUGCUGGCGCGAAAUCAACCUUCUCGUCUCGAGAUCACAUGGCGUGGCGAGCCUCAAAACCGUCACGAAGCGUGAACUCUUGGUGAAAUGGAGCACUUUCGUGUCCGCUGUUAACAUCAAUUUCGAACGUCAUAAAAAGGCUGGAGGGAUGUGGCUCCUUCGGGAGUGUAUAACCUUUAGCGGAUGUGUGUCGGGAUGAGGAUGCAACGAUACCUUUAGGGCUGUCCACCUGGUUCUCUUGUAUCUGUGACGACAGCUUGUGACGUGUAGGAUCGCCUUGAACAGGCUAGAUGGAGCAAUUCGUAAGGUGUAGACGUAAUGGCUUUAAACGAC
RNAcentral lists this ribosomal RNA (369 nucleotides) under uncultured Entrophospora. RNAcentral describes it as "eukaryotic LSU rRNA". The record is from RNAcentral. Lineage: Eukaryota; Fungi; Glomeromycota; Glomeromycetes; Entrophosporales; Entrophosporaceae.